CUGGGGUCACCUGUCCGGCCAGCUACGUCCCCCACGGCCCUUGUCAGUGUGGAAGGUAGACGGCCAGACAGGUGACCCCGG
Molecule: microRNA precursor, 81 nt
Filed under: Colobus angolensis palliatus
Lineage: Eukaryota; Metazoa; Chordata; Mammalia; Primates; Cercopithecidae
Description: miRNA (ENSCANG00000005245.1)
Rfam family: mir-3190 microRNA precursor family
Source: RNAcentral